ACGAACGCUGGCGGCGUGCCUAAUACAUGCAAGUAGAACGCUGAAGGAGGAGCUUGCUUCUCUGAAUGAGUUGCGAACGGGUGAGUAACGCGUAGGUAACCUGCCUGGUAGCGGGGGAUAACUAUUGGAAACGAUAGCUAAUACCGCAUAAGAGUAGAUGUUGCAUGACAUUUGCUUAAAAGGUGCAAUUGCAUCACUACCAGAUGGACCUGCGUUGUAUUAGCUAGUUGGUGGGGUAACGGCUCACCAAGGCGACGAUACAUAGCCGACCUGAGAGGGUGAUCGGCCACACUGGGACUGAGACACGGCCCAGACUCCUACGGGAGGCAGCAGUAGGGAAUCUUCGGCAAUGGACGGAAGUCUGACCGAGCAACGCCGCGUGAGUGAAGAAGGUUUUCGGAUCGUAAAGCUCUGUUGUAAGAGAAGAACGAGUGUGAGAGUGGAAAGUUCACACUGUGACGGUAUCUUACCAGAAAGGGACGGCUAACUACGUG
RNAcentral lists this ribosomal RNA (494 nucleotides) under uncultured bacterium. RNAcentral describes it as "partial 16S ribosomal RNA". It matches the Rfam family "Bacterial small subunit ribosomal RNA", at positions 29 to 507 of the family's 1533-position model. The record is from RNAcentral.